Molecule: ribosomal RNA, 433 nt
Filed under: uncultured bacterium
Lineage: Bacteria
Description: partial 16S ribosomal RNA
Rfam family: Bacterial small subunit ribosomal RNA
Source: RNAcentral
AGCGAACGCUGGCGGCAGGCUUAACACAUGCAAGUCGAGCGGGCACUUCGGUGUCAGCGGCAGACGGGUGAGUAACACGUGGGAACGUACCCUUCGGUUCGGAAUAACGCUGGGAAACUAGCGCUAAUACCGGAUACGCCCUUUUGGGGAAAGGUUUACUGCCGAAGGAUCGGCCCGCGUCUGAUUAGCUAGUUGGUGGGGUAAUGGCCUACCAAGGCGACGAUCAGUAGCCGGUCUGAGAGGAUGAUCAGCCACACUGGGACUGAGACACGGCCCAGACUCCUACGGGAGGCAGCAGUGGGGAAUAUUGGACAAUGGGCGCAAGCCUGAUCCAGCCAUGCCGCGUGAGUGAUGAAGGCCUUAGGGUUGUAAAGCUCUUUUGUCCGGGACGAUAAUGCCGGUACCGGAAGAAUAAGCCCCGGCUAACUUCGUG